RNAcentral lists this ribosomal RNA (472 nucleotides) under uncultured bacterium. RNAcentral describes it as "bacterial SSU rRNA". It matches the Rfam family "Bacterial small subunit ribosomal RNA", at positions 355 to 825 of the family's 1533-position model. The record is from RNAcentral.
UGGGGAAUUUUGGACAAUGGGCGAAAGCCUGAUCCAGCAAUGCCGCGUGCAGGAUGAAGGCCUUAGGGUUGUAAACUGCUUUUGUACGGAACGAAACGGUCUUUUCUAAUAAAGAAGGCUAAUGACGGUACCGUAAGAAUAAGCACCGGCUAACUACGUGCCAGCAGCCGCGGUAAUACGUAGGGUGCAAGCGUUAAUCGGAAUUACUGGGCGUAAAGCGUGCGCAGGCGGUUAUGUAAGACAGUUGUGAAAUCCCCGGGCUCAACCUGGGAAUUGCAUCUGUGACUGCAUAGCUAGAGUACGGUAGAGGGGGAUGGAAUUCCGCGUGUAGCAGUGAAAUGCGUAGAUAUGCGGAGGAACACCGAUGGCGAAGGCAAUCCCCUGGACCUGUACUGACGCUCAUGCACGAAAGCGUGGGGAGCAAACAGGAUUAGAUACCCUAGUAGUCCCUGAGCGGGCUGGCAAGGCGCAU